AUCUUUUGUGCAAAAAAUUACUUCUGCCUCAGCCACAAAAGUCAGUCAAGCAACUGUGUAUUCACAAGCAACAGUGGGAACAAUUCAAAAACAGACGACUCCUCCAACCAAGGAGGUCAAUCAAACAACUGCGCAUUCUCAACCAACAGCGGAAACAAUUCAGAAACAGACUCUUACUCCAACCAAGGAGGUCAGUCAAACAACUGCGCAUUCCCAACCAACAGUGGCAACAAUUCAAAAACUGACUUCUCUUCCAACUAAGGGGGUCAGUCAAACAAAUGCGCAUUCCCAACCAACAGCGGAAACAAUGCAAAAAGUGACUCCCCCUCCAACCAAUGAGGUCAGUCGCACAACUGCGCAUUCCCAAGCAACUGCAGAAACAAUUCAAAAGCCAACUCCUCCAACCAAGGAGGUCAGUCCGACAACUGUGUGUUCCCAAGCAACAGCAGAAACAAUUCAAAAGCUGACUCCUCCAACCCAGGAGGUCAGUCAAACAACUGNGCAUUCCCAAGCAUCAGCAGAAACAAUUCAAAAGAUGACUCCUCCUCCAACCAAGGAGGUCAGUCCAACAACUGUGCAGUCACAAACAAUGGCAGAACCUGCUCAAAAACUGACUUCCGCUCAAGGCAAGGAAGUCACACAAGGAAUUCCACAACCAUCAGCCACGGCAGAACCGACACAGACACUGACUUCCCUUCCAUCAAAGGAAGUCACCCAAACGGAUAACAAAUCAACUGUAGGGAAAAUAAUUUUAAUGGAAUCCACCAAUUCCCAUAAUACAACAAUCUAUGAGACCACUGCAAUUCUGCCAGUUGCUGCAGAACCCACACAAAAAGUGACUUCUCUUCCACCAGAGGAUGUCACUCAAGUGAAUGAAUCAUCUUCUGCAGGGAAGAUAAUUUUAAUGGAAUCCAACAAUUUCCAUAGAACCACAGUCUAUGAAACAACAACAGCUUCCUCAGCCACUGAAGAACCAACACAAAAAGUGACCACCCUUCCAUCAGAGGAUGUCACUGAAACAAAUGAUUUAUCUUUUGAAGGGAAUAACAUUUUAAAGGAAUCCAACAAUUCAAAUAAAACAAUUGACGAUUCAAGUACAACUCUAUCGGCCACUGAAGACCACACAGAAAAAN
RNAcentral lists this long non-coding RNA (1133 nucleotides) under Salvator merianae (Argentine black and white tegu). RNAcentral describes it as "lncRNA (ENSSMRG00000000541.1)". The record is from RNAcentral. Lineage: Eukaryota; Metazoa; Chordata; Lepidosauria; Squamata; Teiidae.